Mastomys coucha (southern multimammate mouse) is the source of this 452-nucleotide long non-coding RNA. RefSeq lists it as uncharacterized. The record is from RefSeq and is a predicted model, not a curated record. The transcript is spliced from 2 exons. Lineage: Eukaryota; Metazoa; Chordata; Mammalia; Rodentia; Muridae.
AGAGGAGGAAGAAGAAGAGGAGGAGGAGGAGGAGGAAGGGGAGGAAGAGGAAGAGGAGAAAGAAAAGCCCAUCCUUUGUUUCUAAGUGGGAAAUGCAGUGUGGCCCCUAACAGGGUGAGAAGCAGCAAGUUGUACCUAAGAGAAAGAAAAUGGCAGCCAUCCAGCAAUUCCAAGCCCUUCACCACUUAUUUGCUGGUUCUCAGGGAGGGUGUGCGGGAGGCCGACUCGUGUGCAGAAGUCAGCUCAGGUGGCAGAGGCCUCGUAUUGGGCUUUUAGAGCUCUCACACUGGUAGCUCCAGAGGAUGGUGCAUUGUCAAGUUCUGCUCACCACUCCCACCUUCUGUGAAAGGAGACCAAGCAGGAAACUUGGAAGCAACAAUCAACGGCAAUGGCAGCACAGAAUGGGCUUCAGAGUUCAAGAAAAGUAUUGAAGUAAUAAAAAUAUUUUCCCA